GCCUUUGUGGUGUAAUGGUCAGCACGUUCGACGCGUAGUCGAGAGGUCCGUGGUUCGAAUCCCGGCGAGGGCA
Molecule: transfer RNA, 73 nt
Filed under: Stegodyphus mimosarum
Lineage: Eukaryota; Metazoa; Arthropoda; Arachnida; Araneae; Eresidae
Rfam family: tRNA
About the family: Transfer RNA (tRNA) molecules are approximately 80 nucleotides in length. Their secondary structure includes four short double-helical elements and three loops (D, anti-codon, and T loops).
Source: Rfam by way of RNAcentral